Molecule: transfer RNA, 69 nt
Filed under: Curculionoidea sp. 9 KM-2017
Lineage: Eukaryota; Metazoa; Arthropoda; Insecta; Coleoptera
Description: tRNA-Gln
Source: RNAcentral
UACAUUUUAGUAUAUGAUGUACACAGGUUUUUGAUACUUGAGGGGAUAGUUUAAUUCUAUUAAGUGUAG